AGGACGCUCACCACUUUGUGGUUCAUGACUGGGGUGAAGUCGUAACAAGGUAGCCCUAGGGGAACCUGGGGCUGGAUCACCUCCUUAUACGAAGAUAC
This 98-nucleotide ribosomal RNA is filed under the name Vibrio sp. SG41-7. RNAcentral's name for it is "partial 16S ribosomal RNA". The stretch from base 1 to 87 matches the Rfam family "Bacterial small subunit ribosomal RNA", at positions 1447 to 1533 of the family's 1533-position model. Lineage: Bacteria; Pseudomonadati; Pseudomonadota; Gammaproteobacteria; Vibrionales; Vibrionaceae. The record is from RNAcentral.